GAGUAACGCGUAGACAACCUGCCUCUAAACUGGGGACAACACCGCGAAAGUGGUGCUAAUACCGAAUGUGGUAACUUGGCUGCAUGGCUGAGUUAAGAAAGAUGGCCUCUACAUGUAAGCUAUCGUUUAGAGAUGGGUCUGCGUCUGAUUAGCUAGUUGGUGAGGUAAAGGCUCACCAAGGCGACGAUCAGUAGCCGGUCUGAGAGGAUGAACGGCCACACUGGGACUGAGACACGGCCCAGACUCCUACGGGAGGCAGCAGUGGGGAAUCUUGCGCAAUGGGCGAAAGCCUGACGCAGCAACGCCGCGUGAGCGAAGACGGCCUUCGGGUUGUAAAGCUCUGUCAGGAGGGACGAAGCCACUCGGGUGAACAGCCCAGAGGGUGACGGUACCUCCAGAGGAAGCCCCGGCUAACUACGUGCCAGCAGCCGCGGUAAUACGUAGGGGGCGAGCGUUGUCCGGAAUCAUUGGGCGUAAAGCGCGUGUAGGCGGCCGACCA
This 499-nucleotide ribosomal RNA is filed under the name uncultured Sporomusa sp. Its description in RNAcentral is "bacterial SSU rRNA". It matches the Rfam family "Bacterial small subunit ribosomal RNA", at positions 108 to 585 of the family's 1533-position model. The record is from RNAcentral. Lineage: Bacteria; Bacillati; Bacillota; Negativicutes; Selenomonadales; Sporomusaceae.